CACUUUGUCAGCCUGUUCCUUAGCAACACACAUCAGCUGGUAUGGGUGCUGACCCCUGAGUGCCACAGAAGCUGAUUAGUCCAAUCAGCCUCCCAUCAGCCCAUUGCGUGGCCGACCGGCCAACUUGGAAGGAGCUGAUUCCCUCUGGCUUGAGUGACCAGAGGCACCUUUCCUGUGAUCCUGGAGGCACCUUGCCCUGCCAGCUCUUUGAGAGGGGCAGAAAAUGGGGUCCACUUGGGGCUUAAUGAGCAAGACAUCACACCAUGUACCAGUGACCCAAAGGCCCUGGAGAAAGGGAA
RNAcentral lists this long non-coding RNA (299 nucleotides) under Monodelphis domestica (gray short-tailed opossum). RNAcentral describes it as "lncRNA (ENSMODG00000049897.1)". Lineage: Eukaryota; Metazoa; Chordata; Mammalia; Didelphimorphia; Didelphidae. The record is from RNAcentral.